CCUACGGGAGGCAGCAGUGGGGAAUUUUGCGCAAUGGGCGAAAGCCUGACGCAGCAACGCCGCGUGAGUGAUGAAGGCCUUCGGGUCGUAAAGCUCUGUCAGAGGGGAAGAACCGCCAGGAGGCUAAUACCCUUUUGGUCUGACGGUACCCUCAAAGGAAGCACCG
Molecule: ribosomal RNA, 166 nt
Filed under: uncultured bacterium
Lineage: Bacteria
Description: partial 16S ribosomal RNA
Rfam family: Bacterial small subunit ribosomal RNA
Source: RNAcentral